Molecule: long non-coding RNA, 6196 nt
Filed under: Paramuricea clavata
Lineage: Eukaryota; Metazoa; Cnidaria; Anthozoa; Malacalcyonacea; Plexauridae
Source: RNAcentral
UGCAUGGAGCACAUCAAUUGCUUGUCUGCUAAUUACGCAGGACUCCGUGAUGGUCACGUGAUGUCGCAUUGUGAACUUAACAGCGACAAAGGCGGUUCGCCAUGUCUAAUUUUUCGUGCGGGGACAUCCUAUUAUGAAUUGCUCAAAGAAAAGGUAUACUUUCCAUACGUGUGUCAUUAUUUAAUUUUAAUAGUUCACGAGGAAAAUACAAAAGAAAUGAAUGUUUAAUCAAUGUUUGUAAAUCGGAUAAAGAUUUGUCCUGAUUUAUAUAAACUUUAGCUUUGAUUUUCUUGGCUUAGACAAUGUUUAUUUUUAAAUUACUUCGCCAAUGGACUGAUAAGAUGGGUCAUUUUUUAAGUACGAUAAUUCGGCGAGAGUUUGUAUAUCAGAUACAGAUCGGCUGCUCAUGUUUCAUCUAGUACUUAAUUGUUUCCCGAAUUAAUAAUUCAUGAAGAAAACACAAAAGAAAUAUCAUGAGCGUGAAGGAGUUUGUAUAUCUGAUAAAAAAUCAUGCUGAUUUACAUAAAUUUUAAAUUAAAUUUUCUCACCAUAUAUUAUUUAUUUAUUUUAAAUUGUUGAGGAAUACGAAUAUUCCCAACAACACGUUUCACAGACCAUUUAGAAUAUUCGCGCCCAUAUCAGUGUAUCGGAUAUAGCGACACAGGCUACAGUACAGCAUCUCGUGUUGUACAUAGUGCAUGUACCGGGUGUCCCCCAAAAAAAUACUCCGGUUUGAUUCGUAAUAACUUCUUAACAAGUAAAGUUUUUAAAGAGAAAUAACUUGCAUCAAAUAGAGGAAUGACUAACUUAGAUUUUGAUAUAUUACAGUUGUAUUUCACUUAAAGUUCACGGAGAAAUUAAUGUUUAAAAUCGGAGCAUACAGGGUGUAUCAAAAAAAGCGCAACCUUGGAAUUUCCCAAGAAAUCGACAUUGUUUUAAAGACAAAAGAUUUUAGGCGCCUGGGAAUUUAAAAUAGCAUAACUGUCAAAAUUACUGCACACGCGAGUGCAUAAAGCAAAAUUUAUGCAUUUAUUUAAUGCACAACAACAGUAAUAUGAUCUAUUAGCAAUUCGAUUUCAAUUCCCAGGGGCCUAAAAUUUUUAUGCUUAAGAAUUGGAAAGUGUUUCUUAGGAAAUUCCGAGGUUGCGCUUUUUUUGAUACACCCUGUAUUUCUGGAUGUGUCUGAAAUAUGCAAAAAACGGCGUAUCAAAUAUUAAUCAACAUUUGCCCGAUUGAAACAUGCACUAUUGCCAGUAAAUAAAUGACACUUGACAAAUUGUUUAUUAUGAAACAAAGUAUUAUUAUUUACAAAGUACAAGCAAGAUUUAUUCGUUCGAAAUCUGCGUGUGUUCCUAGCACGAAUACGUUUCCUUAUUUCAUGAGACCACUGCAUCUCGAAAGAUCGUCAUGGAUAUGGUUCGUAUAGUUCUGAAUUAGGACAUGCUGUCACAAUGGAAUUGUGAAGCUCUUCUAACUUCUGCAAAGUUCUGAAAUCUUGUUAAGAACACUCAAACUCUUUUGCCUUUUCUUAAUCUUGUUAAGUUUAGAAUAAACUGACAAUGAAACACAAUCAAACCAUAUACAAUUCCAUAAGACAUAACAAGCAACUCCCCAGAGACAUCCAACAUUUUUGGAACAAAACGUAACAAAAUAAUAGCGUUGAUACUGUGAUGUGUAUUUGCAAAAAGCAAUAUUAUUUCCUUCAUUAAAGAAUAAUAUUCAUCCUGCUCUAACCGAGAAAUAAUCAACUCAGUUUUAAACCCAUGAGAAACAUAAAAAAAUUAGGCUAUUUAAAUUAAGAAAAAUUUAAGCGCCUGCCUUGCAUGGUCUUUCAUGUACCUUUAAGUUUGUAAAGACCUAUUAAAUACUUGCAUAAUUUCGAACGUUCAUAGUUCAGGAAACAAUGAGCUACGACUUACAUGAUAUGCAUGUUAAGAUGUCUAAAUCUAUAUGUCAUAUCCCUUACAAACCCUAACGACAAUUCGCUGAAAUACAAGUUAGCCUGAUAUGUCAUUAAGCAAACAAACGCUGGAGUUAAUAUUUGAUAUGCCGAUUUUUGCUAAUUUUAGAAACAUCCCAAAAUAUGCUUCCGAUUUUGAACGUUAAUAUCUCCGUGAAUUUUUAAGUAAAAUACAACUGUAAUAUAUCAAAAUCUAAGUUAGUCCUUCCUCUAUUUAAUGCAAGUUAUUUCUGUUUGAUAGCUUUACUUGUUUAGAAGUUAUUAUAAAUCAAACCGGAGUACUUUUUUUUGGGACACCCGGUAUAUGACACAAAGUUGUUCAAUAUAUUAAACAAAAGAGCUCUAGAAACUAUAUAUUGUUGCCUCUUGCAUACAGUAAACCUUUAUUUCCUUUUUCCAUUCUUUGAAAUAUCUAUUUUCCUUUAGUAAAACAAUAAGCCUGAGAUUCUUGUGAAUACAGGGCAGCAACGCGGCGACGACAGCUAUAAAGGUGGUCUUUCACUCUGAAAACAUUGGUUUUCAAAUUAAAGCUUUGGCAGGGCGUUGUGAAAACCCGGAAUGCCGGAAUAUCACGGAAUAUGCCGGAAUAUCACGGAAUAUGCCGGAAUAUCACGGAAUAUCACGACAUUUUUUCGGAAUAUACCGGAACAUCACAAUAUUUUCCGAUGGUAGCCAAUGCGACUGUUUAUAAACAUUGACGUCAGACAACAUAUUUUAUUACAAAAGUGAUGGAUCUUUCUCAUUUUGAAGGAAGUAACAAAGAAUAACUCUAUACUGGAAGUUUUAUAUGUUGUUUAUAUCAUUAUUAUUUCGAGUGUUCACCAAACAUUUUGAAUCAAUAUGAUUAAUUCCUCCUGAGUUAGGGACCGCUCAUUAUUUAUUAUACAGGGGGGGGGAUUGAGGAGAAACUGGCGGGCCUUUAAAUUUUUUAAAACCUGAAAGGGAGGGCUUUGAAAAAAUACAGAGAGACGAAAGAAGCGGGGCUUUGAAAAGAUUUAUCAGUUUUAAAAAACAUUAGUAGUUUUAAAAAUGUAUCACAAAACAACUUAACAACAAAUAACAAUGUUUAUAGACUUUAAUAUUCAUAAAUGGAAGCCAAAUAAAAAGUCUCUUAUGUUCAUGUAUUAAAACAGACAAUUCCCAUUAUAGACUAAUUUUAGAACCAGGCAAAGAGAUGCAAAUCAAGGCCAGAUUUUGGUGAAAAUAGAGGGGGAGGUGGAAAAAAGUUUUAGGGGAGGUGCAGCGGUCUACCUCGCAACCCCCAUGGAAAGUUGGGGCUUAUUGUAGAACAGGCCAAUUUCAACGAGGUGAGGUAUGCAUGUAGUGUACAUAUGUACCAGUGUAUUAACGAAUUAUGACUGUAUGGCUCUAAUCUCGCCCUUCAUUACAAUUGCUACAAAGUUUCUUUCAAAACAUUGCAUUAAAAGGGUACUUGACACAGAGAUGAAUGGCUAUCACUGUUUCAAUUUUACAGAGAAAACUUUCUUACGUCACGAAGUGUAGAUCCUAAGCAACCAUCACGUUUUCACUUUGUUCCAUCAUUGAAACUUUCCCAAGGGGAGGUGUAUGACCGCAAAAAUUCUCAGGGGAGGUGCAAAACGAUCUCAGGGGAGGUGCGCACCUCUCCACAUCUCCCCUCAAAAUCCGGCCUUGAUGCAAAUAAAUCACCACAGCUAGAAAGAGCAUACUAAAAUAACAUACGGAAAAUAUAGCCUUGCAAAGUUUGCAAAUUUUGUCUACUUUUGUAUUGCAUGCGAAAAUUGCAAUACAAAAGUAUACAAAAUUUGCAAACUUUGGAAGGCUAUAUUUUCUACAUUUUACUAAUUUUAGUAUACCCUUCCCGGGAAUAUACUUUUUUGCUAAGAUAAAAAAUUAGUCUAUAAUGAGAAUUGUCUAUUGGUCCCCAUUAUCUAUUUUUGUUUCACUAAAUAAAGAGCUAGAGAGUUUUUGUUUCUCUAAAUAAAGAUUAAAAGCUAGAGGGGGGAACCGAAAUUUAUGUUUUCGUCUUGCCUGUGUGGGGGGCUUUGAAAAUUUUACUUGUCUUAAGAGGGGGGCAACGAAAAAAUAUUAUAACUGUAGAGUUUCUCCUCAGUCUCCCCCUGUACAAUAAAUAAUGAGCAGUCCCUUACAGCGUCUUGAAAAACAAAAGUGCUGACAUCAGCAUUAUUUUCGAACGCCUUCACUCCCGGUGGAACUGUGUUAAGGCCCGUUUACACUUGCAAUUUUUGCUGCGAUUUCUACUGCAAUUUCCUCCUUCUAAUGCAUGUGAACAGUGAACGAGUAGAUGAGUUACAAAUGUUCGGAGUACAUGUACCCCCAUCUGAACAUUCAUAACUUAUCCAUUCGUUCACAUGCAUCAGAAGAAAAAAUCGCACCUAUAAAGACUAUAAAAAUUGCAGCUAAGUUUGCAAGUGUGAACGAGCCUUUUAUAUACAAAAUUUAGUUAAAAAUUAUUGGUUAAGAUUAAGACUGGACUUCUUACCUGAUAUAAACAACUUGCUCAAAGUUGCCUUAUAUAGCAUUUGAUUUUUGGAUAAAUGCUUGGUGGUAUAAAAUGAUCAAUUUUAACUAAAUUUUGUGUCAGUAACACAGUUCUGAAGACGCUGUAACUCAGGAGGUAUUAAUCAUAUUGAUUGAAAAUUUUUGGUGAACACUCGUAAUAGUGAUAUAAACAACAUAUAAAGUUAUUGUUUGUUACUUCCCGUCAAAAUGGGAAAGAUCCAUCACUUUUGUAAUAAAAUAUGUUGUCAGGUCCAUGUUUAUAAACAGUCGCAUCUACCAUAGGAAAAUAUUGUGAUGUUCCGGUAUAUUCCGGGAAAAUGUCGUGAUGUUUCGUGUUAUUCCGCCAUAUUCCGUGAUAUUCCGGCAUUCCGGGCUUUCACAACGCCCGCUUUUGGCAUCAUAUUUGAAUCAAGUGUAUUUAGUGUAAUCGAUUAUGAUCAGCAGACAAAGAAUCAGUAACUUUUUCAUUCGUCGUUGCCAUAGUAACUAAGAUAAUCCUUUUUAUAGGGUAAAAUGUAGGGUUUGCUCCAAAAAGGAUGUGAGCCAAACUAAAUUACUGAGAACUUUAGACACAGUUUGGACACCUAAUAGUAAUACAUUCAUCGAUGUCCUAAACCCAAAAUAUACAUAUAGGAAAUAGAAGAAGGCCUUUAUUUUUAUUUUUCAAAGAUAUAUGAAGAAAGUGAUUCAUAUAAGGGUUAACGUUCCUUUGCAAUGUAUAACGCUGAUAUAUAUUUGCUUAAGUUCAGUAUACAUAGGUAACAUGGCUCUGUUACUAAUCAAUAAACUCUGAAAAUUUCGAACGAAUUGAUUCAGUAUCAAAAAUAAAUUAAUUUUGUAGUAUUUCACCAAACGUUCAUUUGAGAAAAAGUUUAUUUGAUUUUAAAGUGUUUGCCUAUAUUAGAAUAACUUAUACAGAACAAUGCAAUUGAAAAGUAGAACAACAGAACAAACCAACCACAAACAUUUAUUAGCUCCGGGUAAAAUCAUGGAUUUACCCCAAAAAGGGGUUGACAUGAAUUUUCUAGACUGAGGUUUAGAGUGCAUUUUUGCGCUUAAAAUUAUUUGGAUGGUUAUAAAGGAUCCCAUAACGACUGCAUUUUAUUUUGUUUUUUUAAAUGAAAACAUACAAAUUUUCGAAAGAAUACCACCUUAAUUCUUUCUUUUAAUAAUUAACAAUUAUUCGCCGAAGGCGAGGUAAUUAUCGGGGAAUAUUGGCCGAGACGAAGUCGAGGUGAGGAGGGACUGUAACUGAAAACAGUUUGCAAAAUCAAUCCUAUGAAAACGAAUUUUGUUAUCGGUCGAUCAUAAAAAUUUCCCGAAUUUCUUGGCGUCUUGCGGAGUAGAACAAAAAACAAUUUGCCGAAUAACUAACGAGUGGGGGUGUUCCAUGAGGUCAUCCAAUCCAAUUUCAAGCGUCACGUCACCUAAGGACCAUUGUAAACCCCAUACAAAUAAAAACAUCGAAAUCCUAAAAACACCAGUGGUGGAAUAUUUCCGAUAAAACCAGCAUUGUUUUUGACUGUAGUUUACAUACACUGGCAUCUGUCUUGAAUUGAAAGCUCCUUGCGCUUGUAUUGCACUCGUGCUACAAUCAUUCAAGUAUAUUAAUUUUAUGCAUCAUUUUAUAGAAUGGAUCCUAUUCUCCAUGUUAUAACAACGGAAUUUUUGUUCAGGAAAGUUGUAAAUCAUUUUGCAAAUGUACUAUCCCAUACUCUGGAAAAUACUGCGAAG